UACGAAGGAUGCAAGCGUUAUCCGGAUUUAUUGGGUUUAAAGGGAGCGUAGGCGGUCUUAUAAGUCAGUGGUGAAAUCUCGUUGCUUAACAACGAACGUGCCAUUGAUACUGUAGGACUUGAGUACAGAUGCCGUUGGCGGAAUGUGUCAUGUAGCGGUGAAAUGCAUAGAUAUGACACAGAACACCGAUUGCGAAGGCAGCUGACGAAACUGUAACUGACGCUGAGGCUCGAAAGCGUGGGGAUCAAACAGG
This 253-nucleotide ribosomal RNA is filed under the name uncultured bacterium. Its description in RNAcentral is "partial 16S ribosomal RNA". It matches the Rfam family "Bacterial small subunit ribosomal RNA", at positions 524 to 776 of the family's 1533-position model. RNAcentral also lists the same sequence under 1 other name. The record is from RNAcentral.